This 292-nucleotide ribosomal RNA is filed under the name uncultured bacterium. RNAcentral describes it as "partial 16S ribosomal RNA". It matches the Rfam family "Bacterial small subunit ribosomal RNA", at positions 505 to 796 of the family's 1533-position model. The record is from RNAcentral.
GUGCUAGCAGCCGCGGUAAUACAGAGGUCUCAAGCGUUGUUCGGAUUCAUUGGGCGUAAAGGGUGCGUAGGUGGCGGGGUAAGUCAGGUGUGAAAUUUCGGAGCUUAACUCCGAAACUGCAUUUGAUACUGCCUUGCUUGAGGACUGGAGAGGAGACUGGAAUUCACGGUGUAGCAGUGAAAUGCGUAGAGAUCGUGAGGAAGACCAGUGGCGAAGGCGGCUCUCUGGAACGCAACUGACGCUGAGACGCGAAAGCGUGGGGAGCAAACAGGAUUAGAAACCCGUGUAGUCC